This 403-nucleotide ribosomal RNA is filed under the name uncultured Acetivibrio sp. RNAcentral's name for it is "bacterial SSU rRNA". It matches the Rfam family "Bacterial small subunit ribosomal RNA", at positions 355 to 773 of the family's 1533-position model. The record is from RNAcentral. Lineage: Bacteria; Bacillati; Bacillota; Clostridia; Acetivibrionales; Acetivibrionaceae.
UGGGGGAUAUUAGACAAAUGGGGGGAAACCCUGAUCUAGCAACGCCGCGUGAAGGAAGAAGGUUUUCGGAUUGUAAACUAUUGUCGUUAGGGAAGAGAAAGGACAGUACCUAAGGAGGAAGCUCCGGCUAACUACGUGCCAGCAGCCGCGGUAAUACGUAGGGAGCGAGCGUUAUCCGGAAUUAUUGGGUGUAAAGGGUGCGUAGACGGGAAGAUAAGUUAGUUGUGAAAUCCCUCGGCUUAACUGAGGAACUGCAACUAAACUGUUUUUCUUGAGUGCAGGAGGGGUAAGUGGAAUUCCUAGUGUAGCGGUGAAAUGCGUAGAUAUUAGGAGGAACACCAGUGGCGAAGGCGACUUACUGGACUGUAACUGACGUUGAGGCACGAAAGUGUGGGGAGCAAAC